RNAcentral lists this long non-coding RNA (253 nucleotides) under Panax ginseng (ginseng). RNAcentral describes it as "long non-coding RNA (PGIN_LNC010778)". The record is from RNAcentral. Lineage: Eukaryota; Viridiplantae; Streptophyta; Magnoliopsida; Apiales; Araliaceae.
GUAAAUCAAGGCUUCUUCAUGUACAAGUUCACCUCCAAUUCCUUCGCGUUCUCCUUGAAUCCCCCCGAUUAGAUUGGUUCUUUUGAUCAAUGCAAGCCGCCCAAAUGUUUGGCCUCUAGAGGUGAUCCACUAAGGAAUAAUACGUAUUCAAGAAGAUUGGUUUUUGCAAAAACCUAGUUUUCUUUCUCUAUAGAAUAUGUCAGUACUCUCCCAACUAUUGGAAGUAUGAGUAACUGUCUAACCUUAACUCAUA